RNAcentral lists this ribosomal RNA (488 nucleotides) under uncultured Pseudomonadota bacterium. RNAcentral's name for it is "bacterial SSU rRNA". It matches the Rfam family "Bacterial small subunit ribosomal RNA", at positions 355 to 861 of the family's 1533-position model. Lineage: Bacteria; Pseudomonadati; Pseudomonadota. The record is from RNAcentral.
UGGGGAAUAUUGGACAAUGGGGGAAACCCUGAUCCAGCAAUGCCGCGUGAGUGAAGAAGGCCUUAGGGUUGUAAAGCUCUUUCGCCCGCGACGAUGAUGACGGUAGCGGGAGAAGAAGCCCCGGCUAAUUCCGUGCCAGCAGCCGCGGUAAUACGGAAGGGGCGAGCGUUGUUCGGAAUCACUGGGCGUAAAGCGCGCGUAGGCGGCUUGGCAAGUGCGGCGUGAAAGUCCUGGGCUCAACCUGGGGACGGCGCUGCGGACUGCCUGGCUGGAGUCCGGAAGAGGGUGGUGGAAUUCCGAGUGUAGAGGUGAAAUUCGUAGAUAUUCGGAGGAACACCGGUGGCGAAGGCGGCCACCUGGUCCGGCACUGACGCUCAAGCGCGAAAGCGUGGGGAGCAAACAGGAUUAGAUACCCUGGUAGUCCACGCCGUAAACGAUGGGUGCUAGAUGUCGGGGGGCUUGCCCUUCGGUGUCGGAGCUAACGCGUU